RNAcentral lists this ribosomal RNA (1188 nucleotides) under uncultured bacterium. Its description in RNAcentral is "bacterial SSU rRNA". It matches the Rfam family "Bacterial small subunit ribosomal RNA", at positions 101 to 1311 of the family's 1533-position model. The record is from RNAcentral.
AACGGGUGAGGAACACGUGAAGAAUCUGCCCUCCACUUGGGAUAACUCCGGGAAACCGGGGCUAAUACCGAAUAUGAAAUAUAAGUGGCAUCACUGAAUUUGAAAGAAUUUGGUGGAGGAUGACUUCGCGGCCUAUCAGCUAGUUGGUGAGGUAACGGCUCACCAAGGCAACGACGGGUAGCCGGCCUGAGAGGGCGACCGGCCACACUGGGACUGAGACACGGCCCAGACUCCUACGGGAGGCAGCAGUGGGGAAUAUUGGGCAAUGGGCGCAAGCCUGACCCAGCGACGCCGCGUGAGGGAUGAAGGUCUUCGGAUUGUAAACCUCUUUCAGUAGGGAAGAAGCGAAAGUGACGGUACCUAAAGAAGAAGCACCGGCUAACUAUGUGCCAGCAGCCGCGGUAAUACAUAGGGUGCAAGCGUUGUCCGGAAUUAUUGGGCGUAAAGAGCUCGUAGGUCGUUUGUCGCGUCGAUUGUGAAAAUCUGAGGCUCAACCUCAGACCUGCAGUCGAUACGGGCAAACUAGAGUGUGGUAGGGGAGACUGGAAUUCCUGGUGUAGCGGUGGAAUGCGCAGAUAUCAGGAGGAACACCAAUGGCGAAGGCAGGUCUCUGGGCCAUAACUGACACUGAGGAGCGAAAGUGCGGGGAGCGAACAGGAUUAGAUACCCUGGUAGUCCGCACCGUAAACGGUGGGCACUAGUUGUGGGAACCUUCCACGGUUUCCGCGACGCAGCAAACGCAUUAAGUGCCCCGCCUGGGGAGUACGAUCGCAAGAUUAAAACUCAAAGGAAUUGACGGGGCCCCGCACAAGCAGCGGAGCAUGCGGCUUAAUUCGACGCAACGCGAAGAACCUUACCAAGGCUUGACAUAUAGCGAAAAGUGGCAGAGAUGUCAUGUCCGCAAGGGCGCUAUACAGGUGGUGCAUGGUUGUCGUCAGCUCGUGUCGUGAGAUGUUGGGUUAAGUCCCGCAACGAGCGCAACCCUCGUUCUGUGUUACCAGCAUUUAGUUGGGGACUCACAGGAGACUGCCGGGGUCAACUCGGAGGAAGGUGGGGAUGACGUCAAAUCAUCAUGCCCCUUAUGUCUUGGGCUGCACGCAUGCUACAAUGGCCGGUACAAGUGCUGCGAGAUCGCAAGAUUGAGCGAAUCACAUAAAGCCGGUCUCAGUUCGGAUUGAGGUCUAAACC